AUGAAUCUCUUAAGUUAGAACUGCCAGGGAGGGGGGAAUUCCCGGACAGUUCGUGAGCUGACGACCUUAUGUAGGUCACAUUCCCCCAUGUUUGUGUUCUUGUGUGAAACGAGACAGAAGGAAGCGAAGAUGAAGAGGUUGAGAGGUCGGUUGGGCUUGAAGGGUUUUUGUGGUGUUGAUAGUUCUGGCAUGAGUGGUGGCUUGGCACUAUAUUGGCAUGAG
RNAcentral lists this ribosomal RNA (222 nucleotides) under Triticum aestivum (bread wheat). Its description in RNAcentral is "partial small subunit ribosomal RNA". Lineage: Eukaryota; Viridiplantae; Streptophyta; Magnoliopsida; Poales; Poaceae. The record is from RNAcentral.